GAUGAACGCUAGCGGCAGGCUUAACACAUGCAAGUCGAGGGGUAUAUUUCUUCGGAGAUAGAGACCGGCGCACGGGUGCGUAACGCGUAUGCAAUCUACCUUUUACAGAGGGAUAGCCCAGAGAAAUUUGGAUUAAUACCUCAUAGUAUAUAGACCUGGCAUCAGGAUUGUAUUAAAGUCACAACGGUAAAAGAUGGAGC
Molecule: ribosomal RNA, 200 nt
Filed under: uncultured bacterium
Lineage: Bacteria
Description: partial 16S ribosomal RNA
Rfam family: Bacterial small subunit ribosomal RNA
Source: RNAcentral